Brassica rapa (field mustard) is the source of this 16006-nucleotide RNA transcript. It is a transcript of the gene named 7-dehydrocholesterol reductase, with no coding region annotated. The record is from RefSeq and is a predicted model, not a curated record. Lineage: Eukaryota; Viridiplantae; Streptophyta; Magnoliopsida; Brassicales; Brassicaceae.
UUUUCUCCUUAGAAAGGUUCCUUUACACAUGUACUCUUGGGAGGGGCUCAGCUUCAUGACUAGCACGGUGGACUUUCCUGAUAGGUUGCAUCCAGAGACUCUGGCGUGCACUAAUCUGGAGGAGGCAAAGGUGUUCGUCAAUGUUGAUGUCUCGAAGACUCUGCCAAAAGAAAUUGAAUUCUAAAAGGAGGGUAAGGAGUUCACAGUAGAGUUCCAUUAUCCUUGGCUUCCAGCAAGGUGCAAUUUGUGUGAGAAAUGGGGUCAUACUGAACGAGUUUGUGUGAAGCGUGGUAAAGCCAAAAAUAAGAGUGAUGAUCUGAUUAAAAGUGGUGAGAAAUCAAAGGAAGGAAAGAAAGAGCAGGCGAAGGGUUUGGAGGUUUCAAAUGAAGAAUCCAAAGAAGAGGGUAUGAAAGAAAAUCAAGAAGAGAGUAAUGGUAAUCAGGAGAAGAGUCUAGUAUCAAAUUGGAAGUUGGUCUCACCAGAGAAAGUAGGGAGAUCACCUUUGGGAAAUGUCACUGAAGUUCUGAUCUCUGCAUCAAAAUUUGCGGUGUUAAAUAUGGAUGAUGUAGAAGAAGUUGAGGAAGGAGAAAUAGAGGAUGAUAAGCUAGAGAGUUAUUUGGAGGACAAUUUGGAGGAUAUGGAUAAACUAAGAGAGAUAUAAGGCGAUCUUUUGGAAGAUGAUAUACUGGAGCAACAGAGUAGAGGCAAGGACAAAGCAGUAACAAAAAAAUGGUUGAUAAGGGGGCCAAAGGCGAAAGCUCAGGAUGCAAAUCCGGCUAAGAGCACAAGGCUUUCUCGGAAAAAAACUGAUAUGUCGUGCUUCUUUUGGAAUGUGAGAGGAUUCAACAAAUCUUUAAAGCAUUCAGAAGUCAAGGAGUGGAUAGGAAAUAAAGAAAUGAAGUUUGGUUGUGUUUUGGAAACAAGGGUGAAAGAGAAAAAUGUUGAAAGGAUAAUAAGGGAAAGUUUAAAGGAGUGGUCGGUGAUGACGAAUUAUGAUUAUAAUCCUGGAGGAAGAAUCUGGGUUUUUUGGAGGGAGUCUGUUUGUGUUACCCCAGUGUACAAGUCUGAUCAACUGAUCACUUGUUCAGUGAGGUUAGAAGAUGAGGAGGAGUUUCUCUGUACGUUUGUUUAUGCAAAAAAUCAGAGUGAGGAGAGGAAGGCGUUAUGGGAUGAUCUCUGUCAUCACCAUGACUCAGCUAUGUUCAAGAAUAAAGAGUGGAUUACUAUGGGAGAUUUUAUCGACAUAUUGGAUGGGGAAGAAAAUUCAAGGUUCUCGAGUUUGGGAAGAGUUCCUGGUGGGAUGAGAGAUUUUCAGAGGGCGGUGCUUCACUGUCAUCUGUCUGAUUUGGGUUACCAAGGACCUCUGUUUACUUGGAGUAACAAACAGGAUAAAGGAAUUAUUUGCAAGAAGCUUGAUAGGGUAUUGAUGAAUGAUGCAGCUCUUAAACGGUUCUCAAACGCUUAUUCUGUAUUUGAGGCAGGGGGAUGUUCAGACCAUAUGCGUUGUCGAAUUCAUCUGAAGCCAUCCCAGGAGAAAAUUCGAAGACCCUUUAAGUUUGUAAAUGCUAUUGGUACACUGCCAGGGUUUCUCCCUAUGUUCCAUGAUUUUUGGGAUAGUACAGAGGUUCUCUUUCACUCUACUUCAGCUCUAUAUAGAUUUUCAAAGAAGCUCAAUAACCUGAAACCGCUGAUAAGGGGUUUGGGAAGAGAAGGUAUUGGCAAUCUAACUAAGAGAACUAAAGAGGCUCAUGAGUUGUUAUGUGAAAAGCAGAAGCAAACUCUUAUACAUCCUAAUGAGAUAGCAGCUCAGGAGGAAGCGGAAGCAUACGAGAAGUGGCUGCACGUAGCUAUGCUUGAAGAAAACUUUCUCAAGCAACGCUCAAAAUUGCACUGGUUAGGUGUUGGUGAUCAGAACAACAAAACUUUCUACAAUGCCAUCAGAACACGACAGGCUCAUAAUAUGAUUUGAGAGGUGAGAAAAGGAGAUGGUACUACUGUCACUGAUCAGCAGGAGAUCAAACAGGAGGCAGAAAGGUUUUUCUCGAAUCUUUUGAAUAUUAGUCCAGAAGAGUAUAAAGGGACCACAGUGGAGGAGCUGAGUGAUCUUAUGGGGUUCAGAUGCAGUUUGGAUGAUUGUAGAGAUCUAGAGGCUGAAGUACCAGAGGAGGAAAUUCGAAAAGUUCUCUUUUCUAUGAAAAGCAACAAGUCUCCAGGGCCGGAUGGGUUUCCAUGCGAGUUCUACAAGCUGAUUUGGCCAGUGCUUGGGCGUGAUUUUGUUGUGGCUAUUCAGUCGGUAUUUCAGUUUGGUUUUCUUCCUAAAGGUGUGAACUCUACAAUCUUGGCGCUAGUACCUAAGAAGACUGAUUCCAUGGAAAUGAAGGACUAUAGGCCCAUUGCUUGUUGCAAUGUCCUAUACAAGGUAGUGUCCAAGAUUUUAGCCAACAGACUGAAGAAGCUUUUUCCAAAUAUCAUCAGUGAUAAUCAGUCAGCUUUUAUUAAGGAGCGGUUGCUAAUGGAUAACGUUUUGCUAGCCUCUGAGAUGGUGAAGGAUUAUCACAGAGAGUCUGUUUCACCGCGGUGUGUUAUGAAGAUAGACAUCUCGAAGGCUUUUGACUCGGUUCAGUGGGAGUUUGUUCUGAAGGGUUUGGAAGUAAUGGGGUUUCCAGGAAGAUUUAUACAUUGGAUCAGACUAUGUAUUACGAGCCCGUCCUUCUCAGUCCAAGUUAAUGGAGAACUUGCGGGUUACUUUCAGAGCUCGAGAGGUCUCCGUCAGGGUUGUUCUCUUUCUCCGUAUCUAUUUGUUCUUUGUAUGGACAUCCUGUCAAGGAAAAUAGAUAAAGCCGCUGUAGCGAAACAGUUCAAACUUCACCCAGGUUGUAACUCUAUCUCCCUCACUCAUAUGUGCUUUGCAGAUGAUUUGAUGGUGUUUGUAGAGGGAUCAAAGGUAUCUAUAGAAGGAGCUCUUGCAGUGUUUGAUUAAUUUGCGGCUUGGUCGGGACUGAAGAUAAGUAUUGAGAAGUCUACAAUAUAUAUGGCAGGAGUAUCCGAGGAAGAGAAGAGCAGAAUAUUGUUGAACUUUCCUCUAGCGGAGGGUACUCUCCCUGUUAGGUAGCUGGAACUUCCUUUGAUGACCCAGGGGAUGAAGAAGCAAGACUAUCAGCCUCUAGUGGAGAAAAUAAGAUGCAUAAUCAACACCUGGACGAGCAGAUUCUUGUCUUAUGCCGGAAGAUUGCAGCUGAUCAAAGCGGUGUUAAUGAGCAUCGUUAACUUCUGGUCGGCUGCGUUUCGUCUGCCGAGUCAAUGUACUAAAGAAGUAGAGCAACUAUGCUCAGCUUUCCUCUGGUCUGGUCCUGUUCUUAGGACCACGGUGCUAAAGUUGCUUGGAGAGAUGUCUGCAGAGAAAAAGUUGAAGGUGGUCUUGGUAUAAGGGUACUGAAAGAAGUGAACUUAGUGUGUGGUUUGAAGCUCAUUUGGAGGUUGUUGGCGGGGAAAUCUUUAUAGAGUAAAUGGAUAAAGGCAAAUCUGUUGCGAGAGAGAAGCUUUUGGGAAGUGAAUAUUAAAACUCAAACUGGAUCUUGGAUGUGGAGGAAGAUGUUAAAACUCAGGGAGAUAGCAAAGAGGUUUUACAGGAAGGAAAUAGGUAAUGGGCGCCAUACUUCUUUCUGGUUUGAAAAAUGGAGUGAUCGAGGAGUUAUAUAUGAUCUGUUGGGGGCUAGGGGAUUCAUUGAUUUGGGUAUACGCAAAGAAGCUACGGUGGAAGAAGCGGUCUUUAGCUCAAGACGUAGAAGAAGACAUCGGGUGGAGAUUCUAAAUGAUAUUGAAGUGGAGCUGACUAAUAUGAGAACAACGCUUAGUGAGGAGUUAGAGGACGUGAGUUUGUGGAGAAGGGAGUCGGGUUAUCAUGCUUCCUUCUUUGCAGAGGACGUGAGUUUGCGGAGAAGAGAGUAAGAGGAGUGGAUGGUGCUUUGCAGUUUUGGUUUGGUACUAGAGUGUGAAUAUUGGGGUAGUUAUUUUUUUUUGGGGCUUAACAUAGAGUAAGAUGAGAAAAAGAUAGACUAAGAGAUGCAUACAUUGUAGAAAGGUUUUUUUUUAGGAAUAAAAUUUAACAUUCUUCAAAAAAAAAAAAAAAUUCUCCAUCUCCAUCUCUUUGGUCUGUUUUAUAAUCUUUUGUUGCAAGAGAUACAUUAAAGACUAUUAUUGUUUGAACCAGUUCUUGCCAUACUUCUACGUCAUAUACCUCACGAUUCUUCUCUUUGAUCGAGCCAAGAGAGACGAUGACCGACGCCGAUCAAAGUAUGGGAAAUAUUGGAAGUUUUACUGCGAAAAAGUGCGACACAUGAUUGUUCCUGGUAUUUAUUGAUGGUCUCUGUUGUCUUCUCUGUUUUUGUUUCGUUCAUUCAAACGUUAGAAUCGUCCAAAGACCCAAUAAUUAGAUCUUUUUUGCUGAUUUUGUAAGCCACUUGAGAAUUUCUAGCCAUGGGUUUCUCUAGAUUAUGCAUUUAAAUUUAGCCUAAUGUUUAUCAGUUUUAGAUUAUAUCUUGAUUGUACCCUUUUCAUUCUCAUAAAAUAAGUUCAUAAUUCAUAUAGGAAUUAGGAUUCCAUUACCAGUUCUUUUGUGUGUAGUAGCUAACUCUUUACCUAUUUAGUGUUGAAACUUGAAAGAGCUUUUUAAUCAACAUCCACGUAUUACUUCGUUUUUACUUUAAAAUAAAGUAAUUUUAAAACUAAAUUGAGUUUUAUUUUAAUAGUAGUGUUCCGUCCCCUGUACUACGUACGGGCACAAAAAUUCAUAUGUAUGUUUUAUGAAACUUGAACAUGUAUAAUUAGAUUUGGCGAAGAUCCAAUGAGCUAAGUAACCGAUGAGAUCCUCAACAAAAUUUCCUUUCUGAUAUACUGUGUUGUGAUCUGAUCCACUAAAAUGAUUUGGAUUCUCUAGUCUAUAUACUGUGUUGUCAGAAGAUUUCACUCUUUUUUUUAAACACUUAAACAAUCUCAUUUUUUGAUAAUAAAAAAACAAUCUCAUUUAAUAUCAAUCAAAUGUAGUAAUACAAUGAUCUGGGUAUCACAACUGAAUUAAAAAAAAAAAAAAAACGAUGAAACAAAACUGUAGUGAAAACAUAGCUAGAGAUAUACCAAUAGGCACCAUUCUCAUAAUAAUAAGAACGAGCACUUGUUCCUUGUACUCACCAGUAGGUGAUGUAAGAAUGCUCAAAAAGUAACAGAACAAUUGACCAUCUUCGGAGGAGAAACAAACCAAAAACUUUGGCUCAAAGGGAUCAAACUCCAUGGUAUCUUUACUUCAGACUGUAGUUUCCUCAUUCAAGAAACAUUAGCCAUGCCUAGCAUUGUAUAACUAAAUAUGCUGAGCGCGAGUAACACUAACACGUAAUCACCGUAGGACCGUGAUUUCGUGUCAGCUGGUCCAGAGACCAAGGAUUGAUUUUAUUGAAGCAUAUCCCAAGAACCUCCACUUGUUGUUGGAAUUCAGAUACACCAUAUAUGUAUGCUCGUGUCCAUCACAUGUGUAUGCUGAUGACAGUUUAAAACUAGCAAGAGAAGGCAGAACGGAACCGGAACAAACACCAUCCGACCACCCUACAAUCUUACGUCAUAAAAUAAGGAAUAGUACAACCCGGACAGAACAAAUUGAUGAAGACUAACCUCAUCUGCUUGAAACUGUCGGAAGGCUCAACAAAGAUAAGAACAUAUGUGGCUAAAAGCCCACAUAGAACCCAUGGAUCACUGAAGGUGAGAUAGGACGGAGACUAAGCCAAGAGAGAACCUCAACUAUCGGUACCUAAUCGACGCCAAUCCAAAGUAGUGUCAAGCCAUAUCCGUAAUAGACAUGACCAAUAUUGCUACGAUAUAAACUCCACAAAACUCUAUAGAACACACAUAACCUACAUCAAAACAAAGAAUAAGAAGACAUGGACCUUCUUCGGCGCUGUCGAAGAACUUCUUCGACAGACACCAGAGAGACGGAGAUCUACCGCAAAAAAAAACAGCCUUGGCGGAUGAGAGGAAGGAGAGAGGGAAUUAGGAUUUCUUUUGAUGUAGUCCGAACUUUUUUUCUUUUCUAAAAGUGAUGGUCCAAUUAGAGCCGGCUUAUUGGGUCGUAGUGGGCUUGGGAGGCACUGGCCCGUAAUCCUUCCACCGUCGAAAGCGGGAGGUGGAUGCUGCUUUGUGAAACCAGCCUCACGCAGUCUCCUCCACUCUAAGAGUGUCCGAACCACAAGCCUCUGCCGAGUCCGAACAUUCAACUCCCGACUUGGAACAGGCAGGCCAGUAGAUAUCCUUUCCGAGUCCGGCCCAAUGUCCCAUCACCUUAUUGUCCCCACUUGGAUUACAAGCCCGCAUUACCAAGCUCGACAGAAGAUUUCACUCUUGUAUCGACAUAGUUUUGACUAGGCGUGGGCAUUUUGGGUAUCAGUUCGGUUCGAUUCAGGUAUUUUGAGUAACAAGUAAUUUGGGUAGAGGGCUAGAGGAUCCAUUUACUACGAGAUUCAUUUUCGGUUCGGUUCGAGUAGUUUCAGGUUCGGUUCGGAUAGUAAAACUAGGAACCAAAAAAUAUGUGGAAAAUGUUGGUUCUCAUUUGGUUCCAGUUUCAGUUUGGUUAUUUCGGGUAGUUCGGGUAAUUCAGGUUGAAUUUCAAGUAUUUUUCAAAUAAUAAUGAUGAUUCAGAUAAAUAUUUUUGGAUAUUUCAGAUUACUUUGGAUAUUUUAGAUACAAAUAUUCGGAUAAUCGCAAUACUUUCAAGUAGUUUAGAUACUUUGUAAUAAUCUAGUUUUCUUCAAAUGCUUUCGGAUACUUUUAACAGAUUUUUAAAUUAUAAAUAUAUAAUUAUUUAUGUUAUGUGUAUAUUAUUAAUAUUUUUAUAUAUUACGGUACCCAUUCAAUUGGUUCUGGUUCGGUUCGGUUAUUUGGGAUAUAGAAAUAUAGGAACCAUUUGAACAUUUGGGUUUACGGUACGGUUUCGGGUAUUUCGGUUCGGUUUCGAUUUUUUUGCCCAGAUCUAGUUUUGACCUAUCCCACACCAUCAUGCACCAGCUCUAAAAUGAGUCACUUUGACUUUGUUUCUUUCACAUCUUUCUUGCGCCAACGGUUAAAACAAAUAAAUUUGGUUCACGAUCUAUUCUUCAUGAUGUAUUUUUUCUUUUAUCGGCAACAUAACUGUUUUCCUAUCUAUACUAUUAGUUUUCCUAUCUAUAUUAUUAAUAGAUAAUGUACCUUUUUUGUAGUACCUUUUUUGUUUUGAAAGUAUUUGCAGAUCAAUGUCACUGCUUUAUUUAAAACCUAUGCUUUUUUUUUAUUUAAGAUAUUAAAACAUGAAUUUUUUUUUUUUGAAAUUCCCUUGGUUUUCUUCUAAUAUUACAACAGUACCACUGCUUUAAUUAAAUUAUUAAUGUUGUUAAUUCAAACUAAAAACAGAAUAUUUUCCCUAAUAUAUUCCAUGACGUUACAUUUUUGGCAUUUUAAAAAUAGAAAGAAAAUAAAAUGUGGAUCUCCGUUGGAAAGAAAAUAGGAAGAAAAUAAUGGCUUUUUGGCAUUUUUCUUUUGUUAAAUAUUUAGCAGAAGAAGUCGUCAAAUCUCAAGCCUUUUUUUCUGAGAUCUAUGUUCUCUCUUCUUCUUCAUUUUUAGAUUCGGUUGGUUAGUUAAUAUAGCGAAAACCUCAAAAACUAUUAUUGAAUAGGAAGACUAUUGAAACAAUUAUUAUAUAGCAAAGACUAAACUAAACUUUUAUUAUCAAUUUGAACAAAAAAAAACUGUUAUUAUCUAUAACAACUGAUCUCAUGGGUCUAGGUGUUAUUAUAAAGCAAGGAUUAAACUUUUAGAGUCGGUUGUUUGCGGAAAAAAGAAAAGUCUCCAACUUUUGAAACUGUUACCGAAUAGCAGGACUAUAUUUCAUAUUCAGUUGUUUUACAUCUUGCUGAUGUUCAGAGGGUUUGAGUGUGUUAUUUGAGUUAUUCUUUAUUGUAUUUUAAAAUGCAGAUACCGCUUGCUCUACUCAACUUAUAUCUGUAGAGAUGGUUUGAGAUCUUAUUUAUUUACUCAUGCCAAACAUUUGCGAUUUUAUUUAUUUUAGAAAUUUGACACCUCAAAUCUACUCUAUUAAAAUAGAGUCUUAUUUGAAUUUACUGUGGCAUAUAUUAAAAUUAUACCUAUUAAAUAUGUUGUGAUUAAAUAUAGACACCUUCUAUUAUACCAUCUUUAAUAACUUUUAUAUUUAUCUUUGUUUACAUUUACACUACAUUAGAUUAACCCUAUAUCUAUACUAUUAAAAGGGAAGGAGUCCUAAAAAAUCUACCUAUAAAAGUUGUUUGGAUCCUUUCAUUAAAUUACUAAUAUUUUGAUCUUACUUUAAAGUUAUACUACCAAUAUGUUACCAUAUAUUUUUCUAACAAUAAUUUAAUCGCUACUUAUUAUUUUUAGGCCCACAUUUUUAUACACGUUGAUAUCGGAUCCUAACUACAUCUAUACUUUAUUUGGUAGACCUUAUGAUACACGAAAAUAUGGAAAUGCUCCUGCAAUGUCACAUGUUUGCCUAACGUGUUUUUAAUGCUUCUCUUUGACUAUGGACAAUGAGAAUGCAGCCAUAUAUGAUGUCAAUACUCUUAUUCAAAUUUGACUUAUUCACAUAAAAACCAUUAGUGUUACAGAGCACAUCGACUAUUAUUACUUUCGAUACAUACCACAAGGUCCACAACUAACUCAAGAUUUCAUUAUUAUUUUUAUCUCACCAUCUUCUUAAGUUUUAAAUAAAAACUAAACCCAAUACCAAAAAAACCUAAAGCCUAUAUAGAUUAUAUGUAAUCUCAAAACUAUAAAUUUUUUAAACUUAAUAAAUCUAUAUAUUGUCAGAUUUAUGAAAUAUUAUAGGAUAUAUUUAAUAGUUCUCACAAAUUAUUAACUUCUUCCAAAUGAAUUUUAAUUUAAAAUAAAAAUACAUAAAUAAAUGCAAAACAUAUAUUUUCGUGACUAUUAGCUUUUUUUACAAUUAAUCUACCAAAUUGAUUUUGUAUCAUGCUGAUAUGGUUCACGCAAAAUAUUUUAAAAUUUAGACGAGAUUUACACAAUUAUUCUUCUAUCUAGCAACUUACCAAAUAUACCUAUUUACUGUUAAUAAAUAUAUCCUACCAACAUUAAGAAUAUAAAUAGUCAAAUUUAUAUCAAUCAUAAAUACUAUAUAUUAGAAUAGAUUUUGAAGAGAUUUUAGCUACGAGAAAUAUUCUGAAUUGUAUCACCCUAUUGGUACUCAUUCAUUCAUUUCUUAUGUAAUUAAGUUUACUAAAAUUAUAUAUAUAUAUAUAUAUAUAUAUAUUCCCUUAAAAAUUAUAUACAUGGUUGAACUGUUGCCCAUAUCGCUGAUUAUAUAAGUUUCUUUUUUUGACAACACAAAUUUAUAAUGUUAUACAAUAUCUUAUAAUCUAAAAUAUGAAUAUAAUUUAUUACAAUUUUGUAAGAAUUAAUGUAAGUUCUAUAUUCUGGUUUUCAAAGUGUGUAAACGGUUGUACAUGAUAUAUAUCAUUUGUGAUCUAUUUUAAAAUAAUUAUACAUACAUCAUAACACAUAUCAUAUAUUUAUAAUAUACUUUACUUUUAAAAUAUAAAAUUUCAAAAUAUUAAAGGUGAAAUAAUCAAUUUUUAUUUAUAGUUUAAAAAUAUUGCAAGUCAGAAUAUUUAUAAAUAAAAUUAAUUUAUUUUGUUUGAUAAAAAUAAAUUGUUAGCUAGCUAAAAUAGGUUAAACAAAAGAGACUCAUAAUACGAGUCAAAAUUAUCCAAAAUUAUCCAAAAUCUCUAAAAUUAUAGUUCAAUUAAAAUAGCAAAAUAAAUUAAAUACACAAAUUUAAAAAUAAAUCAUAAGAAAUGUUAAAACAUAUAAAUUAUUUAUAAAAUUAUACUUUUUAUAAGAUAUAUGGCCUCAUUUGAAAAUCUGGAGAGAAGUUCCGUUUAUCGACAAAACACAUUGAGAUUGGUAUAAACUUUCACUAGGUUUGGAAUACCUAAGUUAAACAAGAUUUUUCUUUUUUGAAAAAAUAUUAAUCUCGCGCUUCAAAGCUUGAUUCAAAAGUUUGAAUUAACUUUUGAAAAAAUAUCAUCCAAUUUAAAUGGGAUUUUAUCGGGUCAACCAAUAUUGGAUAGCGGAUUAAAGAUAGAUUUUUACGUUUUCACCGAGUUUUAUCAGAUUUUUAUAUAUAAGGUUUUAACAAAAUUCAUACCGGAUUAUAUAUGAAUCACCUGAUUUACUUCUGAGACUGUAGGUUUGGAUCACGUAUGAAAACACUGCUACAAAUAUUAAAAAUUCUACAAAUAUAUACUAUUAGAUUAGUUCAAAAUUUGCCAAGUAAUUUUUUUGUAUCAUCAACUCAACAAGUGUAACUCUUACAAAACACACACAAAAUGCAAUGAUGAUGUUGUAACAUAAGAAUAUACAUAUAUAUUCUAAAAUAAACUAUUUGAUAAAUUAUAUAAUUUUGUAACUUAAUAAUAUACUUCAAAACAUCAAAACCAAAAUAAUAAUUCAUAUCAAACAUUAUUAUUACUUGGAAAAAAAAUCCGCGCUUCAAGCGCGGAUCAAAAUCUAGUACUCUACUAAAAUAGAGUCCUAUUUGAAUUUACUGUGGUAUAUUUUAAAAUUAGACCUAUUAAAUAUGUUGUGACUAAAUAUAGACACCUUCUAUUAUGUAUUUAUCUUUAUCUACAUUUACAUUACAUUAAAUUAACCCUAUUUAAUUAAAACAAGUAUCUUCCACAUAAAUAAAAAAUUACUGAUUAGAAUUGGUUGAAUGAUUGAUUAUACCUAGGUGUAGUUUCUCAUUUUCUGGGUUUUGGAUUAUUAAAAUCUGUAUUCUUUCUAUUUUAUUCAGAAAAAAAAAAUUGAUUCCUGGCGUUUGAUUAUUAGUUGUUGAUAUUCAAAUGCAUGAUCAGUGUUCAUAGAUUCAUUGGUAAUUAAAUCUGGAAAACAAAAGUUGUUGAUUUGGUUUAAGAUUCCAAGAACAGGUCGUCGAAUAUCUCAGUCAUCUCCAUGUUUGUCUUCGCUUUCCUUCAGAAACUCACUUAGGUCGGACUUUGUAAAUUGCAAUCAUGUGGCCGCUUUGCCUUCUGGAGUUUCCAGUGGAUUCGAUAGUUUCUUUUCAGCGUCAUGAUUCAAAUCUCCACUGAUGUUUCAUCUUAUUGGCUUAUUUAAGUGCUUUCUUAAUAAUCCACAUGACCAGUAAGCUUCAUGCAUGAUCAACUCACGUCGACUCUGCUUUUUUUUUUUCUGAUUGGUGAUCCUUGAUUCUGGCUUUCUUAAUAAGAUCAUUUUUCCGAUAAUUCCUUUUUCCGUCACAAACGAAAUGGGAACACACUGAUAAUAUAACCUCCACCCAUGUUCUUUCUUUAUAUAAUUGGUGUGAUCUAAUAUUUUAACAAGCUUCAAUCUUGAUUAAUUUGUGUUUUUGGUUUUUCACAAGGAAGGUAUGGUGAUGGAGAAUGAGUAAUACGACACCUUAACCGUCAAAACUGAUACUUUCGAAGCUAACACUAAAAAGACUAGUUAACAGUUUUUUUCUUUUUUUUUGUAUCAUCAAUUUCUUGUGGGAAUAUGAGUAAAGAAGUUUUAAACUUUUUUCUGGUUUGAUUUUGUCUCAGGCAAGGACAGUUCAUCGGAGAUUCUCAAGCUACUACAAACUUUCAGGUGAUGAUUAGAUGAUUUUGUUCACAUUGCAACUGUUUCUUUGGUUUGGAUUGUUGUUUACUAGAACCCUGAUGAUUUAAAAGUUCUGUUUUUUUGGUUCAAGGUGAUGGGAUCAGUCCUUGCGAUUAAACAUAUUACUCACAUUUUUCUUGAGAUUGAAAAAAGGUCCAAAACUAAACAUAGCAAUCAAUUACGGUGCGUACUAACCGAGGUGAUACUAAAAUUUUCAUAAUGCUGUUCUCAGUGAGACUAGCAAGAAAGAUCCCAAGAGGUUUAUCCAUGAAGACCUGGAUUAGUAGUACUGCUAAGUUAACUCUCCAUGUUCUUGGAGCUGAUCUUACCGCCUACCGGUAGAUGCAACGGUAUGAACCUAUACACACAAAAUGGAGUUUUUGUAAUUGAUUUUCAAACAAAAGUUGAUGUUUGUCUUUGUCUCUUCGUUUUAUUGAGUGUUUGCUUGGAAUGAUACCUUUGCAGGUUAUCAGAUGGGCUUCUGUAGGUGAACGUAUAACAAAAUACAUUUUCUUUUUCAGAAAAAAAGAUUCUCUGGAGCUCUUUGUUUUUGAAAAAAAAUCCUAACACGAAGAGAAUUGUACACCAACAUGUUCUGUUAUGAAGUCAUGACAGACAUGAAAGCUGGAUCAUUGGUUUUAGGUUGUUCUUUGAUGUGUUGGUCUUUAAGGAUACCACUAUCAUGGGUCCGGUUAUUUAAGAAAAAUAAUUUGAGAAAUUGUAAGUUUGCUUGAUAUGAAAAAAGUAAAAUGUUCUUUUCACUUUAUCAUUAGUCUUAAGUUGUUUUGUAUCCAAGCGACAUUUCAUUAGACAUAUAACGCAGUAGAUCUCAAAUAUAUUCAAUACGAAAAACAUGAAAUAUAAUUUUAUUUUUCAAAAACACUAACAAAUUUUUAAAAACUAUUAAAUAAAAUUAGAUAGAAAUAUUUUUAUCUAUGUUAUAUUAUUGCCAAAAAAAUAAAAUGAAGGUAACUGUAAUGUAAAAUAUAUAUUAUUAAAACAGAAACAUUGUGUUGGACCUAACAUUUAUUUUAUAAGUUUUGAAAUUAAAUACAUCUUCCUACUUUAUAGUUAAUGCUACAUUAAAUCACUAAUAUUCUUUUCCUUAUACUACUAUCAAUGUUUCCAAACAAUAUAGUCAUUUUUUUAUACUACUAUCCAUUUUCCCAAACAAUACUAUAAUUAAUCUUAUGUCCAAACAAUAUAAAAUAUUGGAACUUAUCUUUUUAAUAACCAAAUAUUUAAAUAAAUUAAAUAAUUAAAAAAUAUUCAAAUUUUUUAUAAAAAACGAAAAUAAAUAAAACUUACUUUUACAGGUUUAAAUACUACAAAAAAUUUCAAUCAAUGAUAAAUCAAUUAAAUUAACAUAUUAUUUUAUUUAUAUUUACUAAAUAAUGGUUCUAUCAUUUAUUUAAGUAAGAUAACAAUUCAAUAAUAGCCAUUACAUAAAAAAAAAAUAUAUAAACAUUAUACAGUGUACAAUAACUAUAAUAAAAAAAAUAAUUGUGAAAAAAUGUUCAAAAUAUAUGUUAUCUAAAGAAAAAUGCUUAAUACUAAUUGUUAACAAAAAAUUUAAAGCGAUUAUAAUAUAAAUGAUUAACAAGAAAAAUUACAAAAAACAAUUAUAAUAAAAUUAAUUAUGUUAUAUAAAAUGGAGUAAUAUGAUCAAGACAUUUAUAGUUGUUAAUUAUAUCUAUUAUUUUCUCUAUCAAAAUUUUGUAGAAAUGUCAUAAUUUAAUAAAAUUGUAAAAUAAUAAACUUUAAAAUUGCGAUUAAAAGGUGACAAAUUAUGAAACUAUAGCAAUUUAAAUCAAAUUGGAUAUGUUAACAUAUCGGACAUCCAUCGGUUCAAUUGGUUAGUCUCGGAUAUAGUGAUUUUUAUAAAUAUGGAUAUUUUUAAAACCUAAAUUGAAUUAUCGAAUCACCGGAUUAACCGAUUUGGCCUAAAUUGAAUUAUCGAAUCAUCUAUAUUAUUAAAACAGAAACAUUGUGUUGGACCUAACAUUUAUUUUAUAAGUUUUUAAAUUAAAUACAUCUUCCUACUUUAUAGUUAAUGCUACAUUAAAUCACUAAUAUUCUUUUCCUUAUACUACCAUCAAUGUUUCCAAACAAUAUAGUCAUUUUUUUUAUACUACUAUCCAUUUUCCCAAACAAUACUAUAAUUAAUCUUAUGUCCAAACAAUAUAAAAUAUUGGAACUUAUCUUUUUAAUAACCAAAUAUUUAAAUAAAUUAAAUAAUUAAAAAAUAUUCAAAUUUUUUAUAAAAAGAGAAAAUAAAUAAAACUUACUUUUACAGGUUUAAAUACUACAAAAACAUUUCAAUCAAUGAUAAAUCAAUUAAAUUAACAUAUUAUUUUAUUUAUAUUUACUACAUAAUGGUUCUAUCAUUUAUUUAAGUAACAUAACAAUUCAAUAAUAGCCAUUACAUAAAAAAUAAAUAUAUAAACAUUAUACAGUGUACAAUAACUAUAAUAACAAAAAUAAUUGUGAAAAAAUGUUCAAAAUAUAUGUUAUCUAAAGAAAAAUGCUUAAUACUAAUUGUUAACAAAAAAUUUAAAGCGAUUAUAAUAUAAAUGAUUAACAAGAAAAAUUACAAAAAACAAUUAUAAUAAAAUUAAUUAAGUUAUAUAAAAUGGAGUAAUAUGAUCAAAACAUUUAUAGUUGUUAAUUAUAUCUAUUAUUUUCUCUAUCAAAAUUUUGUAGAAAUGUCAUAAUUUAAUAAAAUUGUAAAACAAUAAAUUUAAAAUUUGGAUUAAAAGGUGACAAAUUAUGAAACUAUAGCAAUUUAAAUCAAAUUGGAUAUGUUAACAUAUCGGGCAUCCAUCGGUUCAAUUGGUUAGUCUCGGAUAUAGUGAUUUUUAUAAAUAUGGAUAUUUUUAAAACCUAAAUUGAAUUAUCGAAUCACCGGAUUAACCGAUUUGACCGCGGAUUCGGAUCAAAUUUAAAAGCAUUGAUUUAAAUGCAAAGAAAAUUCAAAUAAACAAAAUUCUUACAAAUUAAAAAAAUAUUUAUUAAUUAUUAGUAAAAAAUUUCAUCAUAAAAUAAUCCGCACUUGCAAAGCGCGGGUCAUGAUCUAGUAAAAAUUUAAAUAGAAUGGCCACACAAACAAAUCAACAAUACUAUUAUUUACACAAUAUAACAAACAUAAUUUACCUUUUCAUAAGAAAAAAGAUCUAUAAUUAUAAAUGAAAGGCUACCCUACAUUUUCUUUCGAUUAUACCUGGCAUAUAUUCAAGAAUAGGUCAAGAAUAGGUAUCUUACAUGAUUUAAUUUUACAUUAUGUUUGUAUCAAAUGAUUAUGAGACAUAUUAGUCCCUUAAACAUAUUAAAAUAUAAAUAAUUAGUUUCAACAACCACCAAUAUAUAGUAACUUAUUUACCAAAAAAUAUAGCUACUUAAUCCUUAUUUAGAAUAAAAAUAUUUAAUGUUUCAAAAUGAUAUGGGUUUAUUUUGAUCACAGCUGUAGAAUAUACAUAUUACCUUUAAAAGAUAUAUGUACGUAAUUAAUAUAUAUAUAUAUAUUCUGACUUGUUAUAUAAUCUUGAAGUAUACAAAUUUCUAAACAUAUUUAAAAUAUAAAAAUAUUCAAUAAAACAAAAUAAAAAAAAACAAAAAACAAAACUGAAAUGUAGCUACCUAAAUCAUAAUCGACUCGAAAAUUACAUAUCCCUAUUCAGACCAAGACACUCAAAUUCAACUUGAAAUUUUAUCAGGUUCUUAACACUAUUAUUUGAACCAAACCAAAAACUAAAAUAAGCAACCCAAACCAAAGCCAAAUUCAUAAAUAACAGAACGGUUGUUUUUAAAAAUGAAAUCCAAACAUUGCAACUAAACUGGAAUCAAACCGAAAACCAAAAAUGCAAUUUGGCAGUAAAGUUUGUAAGAUGUCAUUAAAUCAUAAAAUUGUAAUCUAAAAACAUAAAUUAUAAAUAAUCCCUCGCAACCGCGCGGGUCAGAAUCUAGUUAUGCUUAAAGAGAGAGAGACUUAGCCAUAUAUAGGUAUUUUCAGUGUUACUAUUUCAAUAUUUAGAGUUUAAGUUCAGGGUUAUUUUAUUUGAAAAACAUAAAAAUAUGAGUUUAAUAUUGUGAAUAUUUUUAGGUAUUCUAAGGAUAAUAACAAAAAAUGAUCAUGUUUUAGAGAUAGAGAUUAAACAAGGAUAAGAAACUAAUGAGACAUUAGUUGUGGACAUAUUAUCUGAAACCGGAAAAAUAAACUGAAGCUAAACAAAAACUUGACAGAAAUUUACAAAAACUCGAACGAUUCUUAUUUUUCUAAAUUCAAAACAUUAAAAUCGAACCAAAAAUCGAACGGCCACCA